CUGGGCUUCUCAAGGACUUCAAGGUAGGUCAUUUUUCCUAAAUCUACACAUUUGAAGGUGGCUAGCAUAGAAGUAAAUUAGCCCAGGCAUUCUUACAUCUUAGGAUCUAGUGCACCUCAAAUUUGUCGAAGGACAAGCAAAUGUCCUAGGCAUUUUGGAGGUACUUGACCAUUAUGGGUCUUAAAGACUCCUUGAACAUGCCUGACAACCA
Molecule: long non-coding RNA, 211 nt
Filed under: Elaeis guineensis (African oil palm)
Lineage: Eukaryota; Viridiplantae; Streptophyta; Magnoliopsida; Arecales; Arecaceae
Description: long non-coding RNA (EGUI_LNC039836)
Source: RNAcentral